AGAGUAGACGAUUCGCGUCAAGUGCCGCGGGAUGGGAGGUCGCCCACGGACGAAGGAAGCUUGCUUCCGCGGUGGAUCGCCGCAGCCGCU
This 90-nucleotide non-coding RNA is filed under the name bovine gut metagenome. RNAcentral's name for it is "THF riboswitch". It matches the Rfam family "THF (Tetrahydrofolate) riboswitch aptamer". Rfam says of the family: THF riboswitch presents a pseudoknot that joins P1-P2 and the loop of P3 and two THF binding. The record is from RNAcentral.